GAUGAACGCUGGCGGCGUGCCUAAUACAUGCAAGUCGAACGAAACUUCUUUAUCACCGAGUGCUUGCACUCACCGAUAAAGAGUUGAGUGGCGAACGGGUGAGUAACACGUGGGCAACCUGCCCAAAAGAGGGGGAUAACACUUGGAAACAGGUGCUAAUACCGCAUAACCAUAGUUACCGCAUGGUAACUAUGUAAAAGGUGGCUAUACUACCGCUUUUGGAUGGGCCCGCGGCGCAUUAGCUGGUUGGUAGGGUAAAGGCUUACCAAGGCAAUGAUGCGUAGCCGAAUUGAGAGGUUGAUCGGCCACAUUGAGACUGAGACACGGCCCAAACUCCUACGGGAGGCGGCAGUAGGGAAUCUUCCACAAUGGCGAAAGCCUGAUGGAGCAACGCCGCGUGGGUGAAGAAGGUCUUCGGAUCGUAAAACCCUGUUGUUAGAGAAGAAAGUGCGUGAGAGCAACUGUUCACGUUUCGACGGUAUCUAACCAGAAAGCCACGGCUAACUACGUG
This 511-nucleotide ribosomal RNA is filed under the name uncultured bacterium. RNAcentral's name for it is "partial 16S ribosomal RNA". It matches the Rfam family "Bacterial small subunit ribosomal RNA", at positions 28 to 507 of the family's 1533-position model. The record is from RNAcentral.